Molecule: ribosomal RNA, 495 nt
Filed under: uncultured bacterium
Lineage: Bacteria
Description: partial 16S ribosomal RNA
Rfam family: Bacterial small subunit ribosomal RNA
Source: RNAcentral
GACGAACGCUGGCGGCGUGCCUAAUACAUGCAAGUAGAACGCUGAAGGAGGAGCUUGCUUCCCCGGAUGAGUUGCGAACGGGUGAGUAACGCGUAGGUAACCUGCCUGGUAGCGGGGGAUAACUAUUGGAAACGAUAGCUAAUACCGCAUAACAGUAGAUAUUGCAUGAUAUCUGCUUGAAAGGUGCAAUUGCAUCACUACCAGAUGGACCUGCGUUGUAUUAGCUAGUUGGUGGGGUAACGGCUCACCAAGGCGACGAUACAUAGCCGACCUGAGAGGGUGAUCGGCCACACUGGGACUGAGACACGGCCCAGACUCCUACGGGAGGCAGCAGUAGGGAAUCUUCGGCAAUGGACGGAAGUCUGACCGAGCAACGCCGCGUGAGUGAAGAAGGUUUUCGGAUCGUAAAGCUCUGUUGUAAGAGAAGAACGAGUGUGAGAGUGGAAAGUUCACACUGUGACGGUAUCUUACCAGAAAGGGACGGCUAACUACGUG